AUACUUACCGGGCACGGGAAAAACCGGGAUCACGGGGGCGGUUCCCCCAGGAGGCUCACCAUUGCACUCCGGGGGGGCUGCCCCCUGCGUUUAACCCCAAAAUUUGGUUAACUCGUUUGGCGAAAAUUUUUGUUUAGGGGGGAUGGUUCGCGCAAAUCCCCC
Small nuclear RNA from Penaeus monodon (black tiger shrimp), 162 nucleotides. RefSeq annotates it as U1 spliceosomal RNA. The transcript has a single exon. The record is from RefSeq and is a predicted model, not a curated record. Lineage: Eukaryota; Metazoa; Arthropoda; Malacostraca; Decapoda; Penaeidae.